GCCGCACCAACGCCCCAAGCCCACUACAGCACCCAGAGCCGAUGCCCUGGGCAAGAAGGCCACACCGCCUGCUCAGCGGCUUUGAUCUACCAGGUCACACUCCUCCCUUCCUCGCGUGCCACCCGGAGAUGUCAGCAAGGGCAGGGAGCUGGUGGCCUGCAGCUGACCUCCCGCAUCUGAAAGAGGCCUCAGCCUCCAAGACGUGCAGGAAAGCGGCCACACGCUGGGCUGCAGAGGGAGCGAGUGGCAGGCCAGGAAGCCCUGCCAGCACGGACGGGGCGAGGAGGGGCAAGGCCAGCAUGGCACCUUAAGGGGGCACCCCAGGCGAGUGUCCUGGGAGCUCUGGAGCCUCCUCUGGGGCAGGUGCCCCCCUUCCCUGCGACUUACUGGGGAGGCCGGGGGCACUGCUGCUAGGAGCACACGCUGACCGCACACACAGACCCGGACGCUGCAAUGGCCAUGGGGAGUGACCAGCUCCCUCAUGCUCGUGCUCCUGAAGCUGCCCUCUGGCUGCCGACUGUAUCCCCACCCACGAGGGCGCCAGGACCCUGGGGUUUCUGCAGAGUCUCCUGGAAUGGCCAUCAGCCUGGUCAGGAAGACUCCGGCCCCACGGUGGAGGUGCCCAGCAGACAGCCUGCCCCCUAUGGGGCCUCGUGAGGGCAGACACCAACGGAACCACUAACCACAGGCAGUCUCACCCACGAGGGGGCCGGGGCAAUGACGUGGCCACGGGGCGAACCGUUCUGCCCGAGGGGAAGUAGGAAUUUAGAGCAUUUCUUACUAAUCCACAGAAGCGGCAGGGCCAACGUGAUUGAAGGCCAGUGGACCUGGUGUCUGGUCUGUCCCAGGUGCGUGGCCGUUUCCUGUCCCCCCACCAGGCCUGGUCUGGGGCCUCCAGGACAAUAGGCUCUCUCAAACUCAGGACUUUAGAUUUCGCUGCCUUCACUGCAUCGUGUCCCAUGGAUGAUUGCUGGGGAAGAGCUAUUUCAGGUGCGACUUGAACGGGGAUGGGCAGCCAAGGCCCCAGACACAGAGCAAGGACCUGGACCCUGACGCCACGGAGCAGGUCGGCCACGGCAACUGGACACAGGAAAACACACCUGCGUUUAACCUGCCUGUACCAGCAUGCCUUUCACCGCUCAGUGGAUGCCACAGCUGUCUGGACGGCUGGUCUUUUCAGCUGCCUGGGACUUCACGCCACACUACGCACACGUCACCGGUGGGACAGCCUAUGCGGGUCCUGCUGAGGGAGCUUUCUGUCUGGGGCAGUCGGACAGAAAGAGGAAGCAACGUUAGCUCUGCCAUCUGAAUUCAGUAGAAGCCCGAGCUCCAGCUGGACAAGGACGAAUGCCACAGCUGCACCUGCGCAAGCAACACGGAGGGCUGCCUGGAAAGCCCCUGGCAGCUCCCGGAAACCGGAGAGCCCCACGCCUCCUCGGAAGCCCCAGGGACAGGCGUCACCAAACACCCCAGGCUGUGGCCGCGUCUGCCUGCCCAUCCGGCCCCCUCUCCCUAGGCACGGAGGCUUGAGUGCAGCAACUCCUGAGCCUACAUGUCCCCAGGUCCCCAGGUCGGCCACCACAGUCGCAAGGGCUCUUCCCCGGCUCGAGCCUGCAAGAGGCCCAAGGAAGCACCGGGGGACCGCUCUACGGGCGGGCGCCGGGCACUGCCCCGGGCAUCCCUCCUGAGACCAGGCUUUCUUUCCUCAGGGAAGGGGACAUGGGGGGAGAGGGGCUAUGUCUCCUGUAAACACAGAGAGAGAAGAAACCGAUGCCUGCAACAGCCCCUCCAGUGCCCAGGGCUCGUCUGAGGGCACCGGACAAGACGCGCUGCCUGUGCCGGUGGGCCAGGCCCCCGAGGACAGCGUGCCCUGGCCCUGCUGGUACCUGACCUGCAGCGUGGUGCCCUGCCGCUGCCUCUCACCAGGAAGCCGAGCCUGACCAGGGCCACAGACAGGCCUCGGGGCCCAGGGUGAAGGUGGCAGCCACCGGUGUUGACCACCGCGUGCGCUCAGGUAGCCCCCGAGACAGAACGCACCCCUAUCAGGUCACAUCGCAAACCUCCCACACUCUGUGCCACAAAUGCUGACGCUGUUGACCUAUGUUUACAAAACCACCCAGGCCUGGCAUGAACUGGCUGGCUCAUACUUUUUCCCAGGCCAAGCGUGUUAGUCCAUUUUACAAAGAAAAGAGUCUCACAGAGUGGGCAGCCACUCGGCAGCCUGGUGCCCAGAGCUUGGCAGCACCUGGCCCGUCCCAAGAUCCCGCACUCCCGGCAGCCUUCAUGGCCUGCGAGUCAAGAUGACCACCGAGGCGGCGCACACCUGUGUUGUGCCGGGUCACAGUGCAGGCACUCGCCGUGCAGCACAGCUCCAGACAGCCAGUGUGGACCACGGUGGCGGACAGCAUGUCACAGGCCACGCCAGCGUCCACUGCCUCCAUCUGCAGACACACAACACCCCGCUUUUCCCCCUGAGCACCGCGAAAUGAAAAGGCCUGAGUGUUGCCAGCAAGCUGAAAAUGACAGAUUCAAAAUAAAGUGACACUGAGCACCGAGGACUUUGUAGGACUAGAAGCCUCUGUAAUCACUUCAUGGGCAAGGUGCAGAAAGGGACAAGGCAGAAAAGUCACACGCGGGGGCUGCUUCUCACAGAACAACAGGUUUCUGUUUUAAACCAAUGUUUAAAAAGCAUAUUUUAGCUGCAUUUUUACUUCCCAUGCUGAGACUUUCUAACAGCCCCAUAGAUGAGGUCAAGGCAGUGUCUCCCCAGCGUGACACAGCAGGGGACUCGGGCCAGGGCCAGCCUUGUCCCAUCAUGCCCCAGUAGUUCUGGGCCUCCCACGAGA
This is a long non-coding RNA of Hipposideros armiger (great roundleaf bat), 2846 nucleotides long. RefSeq lists it as uncharacterized. Lineage: Eukaryota; Metazoa; Chordata; Mammalia; Chiroptera; Hipposideridae. The transcript has 3 exons. The record is from RefSeq and is a predicted model, not a curated record.